GCGGGUGUGGCGAAAUUGGUAGACGCGCUUCCUUGCCAAAGGCCUUACAUGCUGAGGCUUUUACAAGGAAGUGGGGGAAACCCCGUGAGGGUUCAAAUCCCUUCACCCGUACCA
This 114-nucleotide transfer RNA is filed under the name Amylibacter sp. Its description in RNAcentral is "tRNA-OTHER". It matches the Rfam family "tRNA". From Rfam's summary of the family: Transfer RNA (tRNA) molecules are approximately 80 nucleotides in length. Their secondary structure includes four short double-helical elements and three loops (D, anti-codon, and T loops). The record is from RNAcentral. Lineage: Bacteria; Pseudomonadati; Pseudomonadota; Alphaproteobacteria; Rhodobacterales; Paracoccaceae.